CAGGGUGUGGUGCGUCGGCGGUGUGGCUCUGGUGGGUGGAGGAGGAAGACUAGGAAGUCUGGAGGGACAUGUCUCAGUGUGAAGAGGAACAGGAAGUCACAUCUCAGGAGGCACCUGGCAUAAAUACUACACAAUCUGUUUUUGUACUUGUAGGUGUUAAUGAGCACUGUGCCCCUGAGCUCUUUAGAUCUGCAAACCAUGAAUGAUUAAGGCCAAGGGGAAUGGCUAGGAAGCGAUUUGGGAACGGCUGAUCCUUUUACGUGUUCGUUUCAACGCUAUUGAGAAAGCUGUGUUUUUCAAGUUGUUUAUAUCUUCGUUGCUGUGGUUCAACCAGUUAAUGGUGAGCUUUAUGAUGAUGUACACGGUUGGCUACACCUGUCCCUCUCUUCACCACCACUCCUCAAACUAAACCCCAGAAGGAGGCUUUGGAUGAGCAUUUUAAAAGCAACCCUAGAAGAGUAACAGCAUGGAAUGGGUUGUGAGUGUGACCAUACAUGAGUCAGUCACAAUACAUUAAUUUGAGCCAGUUGGCUACAGCAGGAAAAUAAUCCUGCAGCAACAGGACAUGUGAA
This is a long non-coding RNA of Salvelinus sp. IW2-2015, 572 nucleotides long. RefSeq lists it as uncharacterized. Lineage: Eukaryota; Metazoa; Chordata; Actinopteri; Salmoniformes; Salmonidae. The record is from RefSeq and is a predicted model, not a curated record.